GACAGAGGGUGCAAACGUUGCUCGGAAUUACUGGGCGUAAAGCGCGUGUAGGCGGUUCCGCAAGUCAGGUGUGAAAGCCCAGGGCUCAACCCUGGAAGUGCACUUGAUACUACGGAGCUUGAGUACUGAAGAGGAGAGCGGAAUUCCCGGUGUAGAGGUGAAAUUCGUAGAUAUUCGCAAGAACACCAGUGGCGAAGGCGGCUCACUGGCCCGGUACUGACGCUGAGGUGCGAAAGCGUGGGGAGCAAACAGG
This 253-nucleotide ribosomal RNA is filed under the name uncultured bacterium. Its description in RNAcentral is "partial 16S ribosomal RNA". It matches the Rfam family "Bacterial small subunit ribosomal RNA", at positions 524 to 776 of the family's 1533-position model. The record is from RNAcentral.